CUGCAGCUCCAGGGGACCCAAUCCCCUUACACAGACAUAUACACAGGCAAACCACCAAGGCACAUAAAUAAAAUAAAUCAUUAAAAAAAUAAAAGUUUACUUUGGUACCAGUUACUGAAAGUUUCAAUUCAGCAUAAGGCUCAAAAUUUUAACAGGGAUAAAUUACCCUAGUUUACAAAAACCUAAUCUUGUGAGAUUUACUAAUUUAUCAUAAACUGUUGGAAAAAAAAAAAGGAAUGAAGGCAUCCUUUAUAUAUAUUGUUGAAGUUUAGCCUAAAGCAGGCAACUCAAAACAAGUUUAAGAGUAAACCUGAAGUUUGCUAAAUAUAAUAUUCAAAAUCAGGUAUAUUAAAAAUGGUUAUGGAGAGUUCAAUGCUUGAGUAGAAUGGGUUAAAUUUACAAUCCCCUGCAUGGCAGGGCAUCUGUAGGCUCAAGUGGCGCUGCUUCCCUUGGAUGGGACCCUGUCUCCAUCAGAAUAAACUGCACGCUAGCCUUACUGAAUGAAGACUGGGAAGUAAGACUUGCCAGAGUAUGUUUAUAAGUUGUAGGCCAGCCCAGGAAAGGCUCCUUAUCCACAAAGGGGAUGAACUACUAUGGUCUCACACGGCAGUGACGGAGUCUCUAGACCAGUGCAGGGCCCUGAGAGUCUGCCCGCACAUCCCUAACGUAUCAAGCAAAAAGGAGGCAAGCAGCAAUCACCUUGCACUGCUGUCUCUGAACCGCCACUAGAGGGGGCUGUGGACAGGGGAGCCUUGUACCUGAGCUGCCACCUGACUAGGGGACCCGUACUCUAGUUCAACUGGCUUUCCAUUCUCUUCUUAGCAAGACUAACGCCAGGGCCAAGAAGUCAACACGUGACUGUGUAAGGAGGCCCCAGAGGAGUUUUAAGGAAUCUAAGAAAGGCUCUGCUACAGGGCGUCAGCAGUACGGAUAUUCAUUUAAACACGAAGUUGCAGGUGUCAUCCCGUGGGCCCACCACACCCAGGUUCUGCCUGAGGAGUAAGAACCUGGGGUAUAAAGGUGUCCCGUCACCUCCCUCCCCCCUGGCAAUCUCUCAGGGUCAUGAUGGGCAACCAGCUUUUCAGGCUGCCGCCGCCGCACUGGCCACUCUUCCAGAGGACCUGGAACUCAAUUCCCAGCACCCACAUGGCAGCUCACAACUGUUCCAGAGGAUCUGAUGCCCCCUCUUGGCCUCUGAGGGCACCAGGGGUCUGUGAGCUGGAUGAAUGAGGAAAGCCGAAUCUGACGACCCAGCUUGGUCCCUGGCUCCACAUGGUGAAGAGAACUGAUGCCCACAAGCUGUCCUGAUGUUUACGACUGCUAUAGGACACGUGUGCCACACACAUGCAUGUGAAAGUAAGUCACAGAAAGACUAUCUUUUCAAAAGUAGUCUUUCUUUCCUAGAAAUGAAGGAAAGACAGGCUGGCAGGCCACACUGGAAAGUUCCAGAAUGGCCUUGGCACCUGGGAUGGGCUUCCUGACUGACAGUCACAGUGAGAACCAGGAAGGGACUGCUAACAGUGGUCUGUGAAUGAACUUACUGGAAACAGGCCUCGUGAUGUCCAUGGGUUCUGCUUCUUCUUUGACUUUGACCUCGGAAACAGGAGGCCCCAGAACUGCGGAAAGGCUGCCAGCCACAGGUGUUGAUGUCGUGGGUGCAGCGGCAAUGGUGGUGAUGGGUGGAGUGACGGGGACGGCUCCAGGAAUGCUAGAAAGAGCGAUGGCUGGCUGGGAUGGAGGGCUGGCUGCGGCAAUCAUGCUUGGAAUGGCUGGUGGAGGCUGCUGGGAAGUUGGAGGGACUGCAAUGGUAGGCUGCUCGGCAGUCUGGUUGGAUAUGGUCUCCAAGGACACAGUGACUGGAGUGGCCAUGGACACAUGUACUUCGGAUUUAGGUUUGGCACUGAAACACAAAAGAGAGCAUUGUGUAGCAAUUGAGACAAAACUGUCUUUCCUUGAAACACCUCGAAGGAGGGUGUUACUUCUUGUAAUACAGCACACACAACUGAUACUCUACUGUUCAUCUUUACGUUAACUUAGAAAGAAUAGAGAUCUUCACCUGUGGUAUCGGGAAUUGAAUCUAGGGCUGUAAGCAGGCUAAGUAUGUGUUUUAGCUCAGAAUUCUCCAGCUCAGAAUUCAGGGUUUGUUUGUUUUUCAAGACAGGGUUUUUCGGUGUAGCCCUGGCACUCACUCCGUAGACCAGGCUGGUGUCAAACUCAGAGAUCCCCCUGCCUCUGCCUCCAGAAUGCUGGGAUUAGAGGCGUGCCCCAGUUCCACCUGUUCAGAAUUCACGUUUUUGAAAUAGCUUAUGUUAUAAGGCUGGGAAUACAGAUGCCAGAUAUGUUGAAGGCCCUAGGUUCAAUCAAUCCCCAACACCAGAAAAACAAGCAGAAACAAGCAACAUUUUCCAUUCUGUUAAGCUUUUAUACAAAGUAAUUCAAUACUUAGAAACAAUGAACAUUCAAAAAGAAAUCACUUGGAAUCACAUCCUGUGCAAGGACUAUGAGAUUUUAAAAUGGACGCUGCUGUUGCACGGUUUUUUUUCUUCUUUGAGACAGGAUCUCGAUUAUGUAUUUCUACCUGGCCUUAAACUUAAGAGAUGUUCCUGUCUCUGCUUCCCAAGUACUGGGAUUAAAGGUGUGUGCCACCAA
Long non-coding RNA from Mesocricetus auratus (golden hamster), 2649 nucleotides. RefSeq lists it as uncharacterized. The record is from RefSeq and is a predicted model, not a curated record. The transcript has 2 exons. NCBI's taxonomy places the organism in Eukaryota, Metazoa, Chordata, Mammalia, Rodentia, Cricetidae.